AUUGAACGCUGGCGGCAUGCCUUACACAUGCAAGUCGAACGGCAGCACGGGAGCAAUCCUGGUGGCGAGUGGCGAACGGGUGAGUAAAGUAUCGGAACGUGCCCAGUCGUGGGGGAUAACGUAGCGAAAGUUACGCUAAUACCGCAUACGAUCUAUGGAUGAAAGCGGGGGAUCGCAAGACCUCGCGCGAUUGGAGCGGCCGAUAUCAGAUUAGGUAGUUGGUGGGGGAAAGGCUCAACAAGCGGACGAGCUGCAGCUGGUCUGAGAGGACGACCGGCCACACUGGGACUAGCACACGGCCCAGACUCCUACGGGAGGCAGCAGUGGGGAAUUUUGGACAAUGGGCGAAAGCCUGAGCCAGCCAUGCCGCGUGCAGGAUGAAGGCCUUCGGGUUGUAAACUGCUUUUGUACGGAACGAAAAGGUUUGGCCUAAUAAGCUGAGCUCAUGACGGUACCGUAAGAAUAAGCACCGGCUAACUACGUGCCAGCAGCCGCAGUAA
This 500-nucleotide ribosomal RNA is filed under the name uncultured bacterium. RNAcentral describes it as "partial 16S ribosomal RNA". It matches the Rfam family "Bacterial small subunit ribosomal RNA", at positions 29 to 523 of the family's 1533-position model. The record is from RNAcentral.